Molecule: long non-coding RNA, 532 nt
Filed under: Zea mays
Lineage: Eukaryota; Viridiplantae; Streptophyta; Magnoliopsida; Poales; Poaceae
Description: long non-coding RNA (ZMAY_LNC001434)
Source: RNAcentral
AUCCGCUCCUCCUGUUCCUGCUUCACUUCUACUAGCUCGUCGAUUCUCUUGCAGCAGGUUGUUGUCCAGCUCUGCCUGCAUGUAGUUUUCAGCCGUGUGAAGUCGAACGGUUUUGAUGAUUCCAUCUGCCGGCCUGCUCGAUCUAGGUUCCACAUGGGAAGGCAACCUUUGGUCAUCGUGGCCAACGCAGAGCUCUGCAAGGAGGUCGGCAUCAAGAAGUUCAAGAGCAUGCCGAACCGGAGCUUACCUUCGGCCAUCGCCAAUUCCCCGAUCCACCUCAAAGGCCUCUUCUCGACAAGGUAGCAACCAAAGCUAGCUAGCAUCUGUCCUGGCUCAGCAGUUAAAGGAAAACAUACAUGUCUGCAAGCAGAAAAAUGUGUCUGGUGGUGAUAUUUAUAAUUUAUUACAGAGAAGAAAAUCCACUUAGAGCUGUGCAAAAAAAUUACAUUGACACGUGUAGAAGCGUGCGUGUAAUUGUGCAAAUGUGCAAUGCAUCAACGCGCGCGCGUGCUUUGUGUCGUCUCUGCCAGGG